RNAcentral lists this ribosomal RNA (363 nucleotides) under uncultured fungus. Its description in RNAcentral is "eukaryotic LSU rRNA". The stretch from base 1 to 96 matches the Rfam family "5.8S ribosomal RNA", at positions 59 to 154 of the family's 154-position model. Lineage: Eukaryota; Fungi. The record is from RNAcentral.
UAAGUAAUGUGAAUUGCAGAAUUCAGUGAAUCAUCGAAUCUUUGAACGCACCUUGCGCUCCUUGGUAUUCCGAGGAGCAUGCCUGUUUGAGUGUCAUGAAAUUCUCAACUGCCCCAGGCUUUGUGGCCUGCAGGUGAAGUUGGACUUGGAGGUAUGCUGGCGCAUGAAUGGGCUUUGUGCCCUGCCUUGCUUGUUGGCUCCUCUCGAAUGCAUGAGCUUUCCAAUCCUUGGCAAAGUAUCGUCGAUGUGAUAAUUGUCUGCGUCGCCCGAGAAAGCCGAAAGGGGAAAUCCUUGAUCACGCUGGGGUGACCCGUGUCUGACAAAUUCGACCUCAAAUCAGGUAGGACUACCCGCUGAACUUAA